Molecule: ribosomal RNA, 483 nt
Filed under: uncultured bacterium
Lineage: Bacteria
Description: partial 16S ribosomal RNA
Rfam family: Bacterial small subunit ribosomal RNA
Source: RNAcentral
UUGAACGCUGGCGGCAGGCCUAACCCAUGCCAGUCGAGCGGAUGAAGGGAGCUUGCUCCUGGCUUCAGCGGCGGACGGGUGAGUAAUGCCUAGGAAUCUGCCUGGUAGUGGGGGAUAACGUCCGGAAACGGGCGCUAAUACCGCAUACGUCCUGAGGGAGAAAGUGGGGGAUCUUCGGACCUCACGCUAUCAGAUGAGCCUAGGUCGGAUUAGCUAGUUGGUGGGGUAAAGGCCUACCAAGGCGACGAUCCGUAACUGGUCUGAGAGGAUGAUCAGUCACACUGGAACUGAGACACGGUCCAGACUCCUACGGGAGGCAGCAGUGGGGAAUAUUGGACAAUGGGCGAAAGCGUGAUCCAGCCAUGCCGCGUGUGUGAAGAAGGUCUUCGGAUUGUAAAGCACUUUAAGUUGGGAGGAAGGGCAGUAAGUUAAUACCUUGCUGUUUUGACGUUACCAACAGAAUAAGCACCGGCUAACUUCGUG